GAAGGGAAUGGCUCCAGAUGCCGUGGACAUGUCUCAGCCUCGGGGGGGGGGGGGGGGGGGGCAGCAUACACCAAACAUAGAACCUCCUCGGCACGCCAUUAUGCAAUAUACGAUUACAUAAUACUGUGGGCUUCCCGCACGCCAUGUUGCCAAAAAAUAAACGGCGCGGCGACUCCACAACAUUAGCGAUGUAAAUAUAUACCGUAAACAGAACAGAAAAGUAACUACUUCUGAUAAACGAAAAAAUUAAAAAAAUCAGGCCUCACCGGUGGAGAAACCCGUCUUCUUGUGACACUUGCUGAACUCGACGCUGAAGUAGGUGACCAGCGCGUGCACGUAGUCGUUGCGCUGCACCUGCAGGCAGAACGCCGACGUGAAGGUCAGGUCGUCCGGCUUCACUGUGUAGACGUCCACUUCCUGUAAGUGUGUGUAUGUAAUAUGUGUGUGUGUGUGUAUCGUUGUAGGCGUGUGAGUGGAGGUGGUGGAGGAGCAACAAAAACAAGUCAUCUUUUCGCUCAUUUCUUUGCGGCAUGUGAAGUUCACACUCCCACACACACACACACACAUACACACACAAUCACAUAUAUGUUUAUCUUGUGUGAUUAUUAUUCACUCUGUGUGUGUGUGUGUGUGUGUGUGUGUGUCCGCAGGUUGAAUCACUCCUCGCGAGCCACCUCUCACACUCCACGCGCGUGGGCGCGUUGCCGGGCGUUCGCUGGCGGCGUCACGCGGAAGCCACUCAACGGCGGCUGCGGGGAAAAUACAGUAGGUCCCCUCGCCGGCCACUUCAUUAGCAAACCCAAAUGGACUCACAGUGGAUCUUGAAGUCCUUGUACUGCCGGUCUUCGAUGGCCACCACGUAGAGGGACGCUCGGUCGGGGAACAUCAGGCCUCCCGGUUUCUGCGCGUGGGAAAAGGCGGUCAAGCGGAGUUGAUUGGUUAACCGCUAAGCCCCGCCCCCGUUCCUCCAGCGUACCGUACCAGCCACUUGUCCCGGGCGAAGAUGACGGUGUUGAGCAUGGAUUCGUAGAAGAGGCAGUAACCCAUCCACUCGGAGAUGAUGAUGUCCACCUUGUCCACGGGGAGCUCCACCUCCUCCACCUUGCCCUGGAAGAUGGUGAUGACUGCAAGCGGAUGCGCGAUGGACGUCAUGAGGAACGCCAACCGAUUGGAUGCGAGACGUGUUUGGCCCCGGCGUUGGCGGCGAACAUGGACAGGAUUCCCGUGCCGCUCCCGACGUCCAGCACCACCUUGUCCUUGAACACGUGCUUGUUGUGAUACAUGGCGUUGCGGUAGGUGAGCGUGCGCACUUCGUCCUUCAGCAUCUCCUGGCGGGGCAGGGCGGGGGUGGGGGGGGGGUGCAAGCUUUCCUUCAGCACAAUGAGCGAACGCAGGCCAAAAGUCUGCGCGGCGACGUCUCAAAAUAGACCCAAGCGUAUCACAAGCCCCCCCCCCCCCACACACACACACCCUCGGGAGCCACCCGAUAGCUGACUUCCUUUUUUCUGCUGCUCUCUUUAUUUUGUGCGAGAGCAAAGGCCCACUUAUCUACUAAAUUUGGAAUCUCACGGGUGUAAAAUGUCCCCCAAAUUUCUCCACUCUUGUCACCUUUCUGCGCGCAAAGUCAUUCCUGAAAUAGCGCGUUCAAAUUAGCUUCUUUUUAAUGAGGUUGCUAAUGGAAAAGAUGUCUCUCAUUUGUUCACGGAGAAGAGGACCUGUCCUGGCUAGAACUGGACCCGAGUAU
Long non-coding RNA from Hippocampus zosterae (dwarf seahorse), 1744 nucleotides. RefSeq lists it as uncharacterized. The record is from RefSeq and is a predicted model, not a curated record. The transcript is spliced from 3 exons. NCBI's taxonomy places the organism in Eukaryota, Metazoa, Chordata, Actinopteri, Syngnathiformes, Syngnathidae.